RNAcentral lists this ribosomal RNA (941 nucleotides) under Deconica coprophila. RNAcentral's name for it is "LSU rRNA". It matches the Rfam family "Eukaryotic large subunit ribosomal RNA", at positions 38 to 964 of the family's 3401-position model. The record is from RNAcentral. Lineage: Eukaryota; Fungi; Basidiomycota; Agaricomycetes; Agaricales; Kuehneromycetaceae.
GCAUAUCAAUAAGCGGAGGAAAAGAAACUAACAAGGAUUCCCCUAGUAACUGCGAGUGAAGCGGGAAAAGCUCAAAUUUAAAAUCUGGCGGUCUUUGGCCGUCCGAGUUGUAAUCUAGAGAAGUGUUAUCCGCGCUGGACCGUGUACAAGUCUCCUGGAAUGGAGCGUCAUAGAGGGUGAGAAUCCCGUCUUUGACACGGACUACCAGUGCUUUGUGAUACGCUCUCAAAGAGUCGAGUUGUUUGGGAAUGCAGCUCAAAAUGGGUGGUAAAUUCCAUCUAAAGCUAAAUAUUGGCGAGAGACCGAUAGCGAACAAGUACCGUGAGGGAAAGAUGAAAAGAACUUUGGAAAGAGAGUUAAACAGUACGUGAAAUUGCUGAAAGGGAAACGCUUGAAGUCAGUCGCGUUGGCCGGGGAUCAACCUUGCUUUUGCUGGGUGUACUUUCCGGUUGACGGGUCAGCAUCAAUUUUGACCGUUGGAUAAAGUGUAGGGGAAUGUGGCAUCUUCGGAUGUGUUAUAGCCUUUGCUCGUAUACAACGGUUGGGAUUGAGGAACUCAGUACGCCGCAAGGCCGGGAAUUUAUUCCACGUUCGUACUUAGGAUGCUGGCAUAAUGGCUUUAAUCGACCCGUCUUGAAACACGGACCAAGGAGUCUAACAUGCCUGCGAGUGUUUGGGUGGAAAACCCGAGCGCGUAAUGAAAGUGAAAGUUGAGAUCCCUGUCGUGGGGAGCAUCGACGCCCGGACCAGACCUUUUGUGACGGAUCUGCGGUAGAGCAUGUAUGUUGGGACCCGAAAGAUGGUGAACUAUGCCUGAAUAGGGUGAAGCCAGAGGAAACUCUGGUGGAGGCUCGUAGCGAUUCUGACGUGCAAAUCGAUCGUCAAAUUUGGGUAUAGGGGCGAAAGACUAAUCGAACCAUCUAGUAGCUGGUUCCUGCCGA